Molecule: small RNA, 97 nt
Filed under: Rhizobium sp. NXC24
Lineage: Bacteria; Pseudomonadati; Pseudomonadota; Alphaproteobacteria; Hyphomicrobiales; Rhizobiaceae
Description: miscellaneous other RNA
Source: RNAcentral
UUUAAGUAUCGCGUGAUCCUUAUCCGUUGCCGGGGCUGCGAGCGAGCGCGCCUAAGAUCUGAUCCUCCCAAGACUUGACCGCGAAACGACAAGAAUU